GUGCCUGUGGCUCAGAGGAGUAGAGCGCCAGCCCCAUAUACCGGAGGUGGUGGGUUCAAACCCACCCAGGCCA
RNAcentral lists this transfer RNA (73 nucleotides) under Otolemur garnettii (small-eared galago). It matches the Rfam family "tRNA". From Rfam's summary of the family: Transfer RNA (tRNA) molecules are approximately 80 nucleotides in length. The record is from Rfam by way of RNAcentral. Lineage: Eukaryota; Metazoa; Chordata; Mammalia; Primates; Galagidae.